RNAcentral lists this small RNA (163 nucleotides) under Streptomyces pristinaespiralis. RNAcentral describes it as "c-di-AMP sequence". It matches the Rfam family "c-di-AMP riboswitch aptamer (ydaO/yuaA leader)". Rfam says of the family: This family represents a conserved RNA structure found upstream of the ydaO and yuaA genes in Bacillus subtilis and related genes in other bacteria. The ydaO/yuaA element is thought to act as a genetic "off" switch for the ydaO and yuaA genes in its native state. The record is from RNAcentral. Lineage: Bacteria; Bacillati; Actinomycetota; Actinomycetes; Kitasatosporales; Streptomycetaceae.
GGGCGGCCUGCGCCGAAUCCGGGCUUCUCCCGAGGGAGUUCGGAACCGGGGACCCACCAUGCAUCACCGGGGUGAAUCGGACCGUGCCCCGCUCGGUCCGUAGGGCGUCUUCCGUUCGCCCGAACCCGACAGCUAACCCGGUAGGCGGUCCACGGAAGAAGGA